Molecule: RNase P RNA, 320 nt
Filed under: chicken gut metagenome
Description: Bacterial RNase P class A
Rfam family: Bacterial RNase P class A
About the family: Ribonuclease P (RNase P) is a ubiquitous endoribonuclease, found in archaea, bacteria and eukarya as well as chloroplasts and mitochondria. Its best characterised activity is the generation of mature 5'-ends of tRNAs by cleaving the 5'-leader elements of precursor-tRNAs.
Source: RNAcentral
GACGGUCGGAUAAACGCAGCCCGAAAGGGGUGAGGAAAGUCCGGGCAUCAUAAGGCAGGGUGCCGGCCAGUUACCGGUGAAGGCGACUUCAAGGAAAGUGCAACAGAAAUAAACCGCCCGCAAGGGUAAGGAUGGAAAGGCGAGGUAAGAGCUCACCGUUCCCCCGGCGACGGGGGAAGCCCUGUAAACCCCACCCGAUGCAAGAGAAAACGACGUUAUGCGGUCGCCUGCCGCGUCGGAAAAUCGCUUGAGACGUGCGGCAACGUACGCCCUAGACAGAUGUUUAUCCAAGACAGAACCCGGCUUACAGAUUGUCUCGC